RNAcentral lists this long non-coding RNA (1348 nucleotides) under Carassius auratus (goldfish). RNAcentral's name for it is "lncRNA (ENSCARG00000008594.1)". Lineage: Eukaryota; Metazoa; Chordata; Actinopteri; Cypriniformes; Cyprinidae. The record is from RNAcentral.
AAUCCACUACGUUCUAAAAACCUAGAAUAUCAAAAUCAACUGCGGGUGGCAGAUCCUUUUAAUUUUGGGCGACAAAACUCUGGAACAACCUGCCUAACAUUGUUCGGGAGGCAGACACACUCUUGCAGUUUAAAUCUCGAUUAAAGACCCAUCUGUUUAACCUGGUUUACACAUAACAUACUAAUAUGCUUUUAAUAUUCAAAUCUGUUAAAAGAUUUUUAGGCUGCAUUAAUUAGGUGUUGGGGAUAACAGUUUAAAACCCAAGGAGCAGGUGGUGUCGUAAUCAAGACCAGGAGUCAGAGAUGAGUUCAAUUAAUAAUAAUAAUUUUACUUAAGGAAAUAGUUUGCAGUUUCAUAGGCAGAAGUCAGCGUCAAUACCCUCGCAGGAGUUCGUAAGCUGAACUGCCGUAUAAUACAAAAUCAGUCAUAGUUAUACUCCAGACAGAAGACUUCAAAUGCGUCAAAGCACUGGUCAGCAGCGAUCUGAUUGGUUCCAAAACCUAGAUAAACUUAGACAAUCUUCACAUAUGGUCAUAUACAUCUUCAGCAUAUCUCCAGUGAUUAUAGCAGGCGUCAGCACGGUUGAAGAAGGCACCUCAUCCUAGGUCUGGAAUCCAGCAAUGUUGGUCUCAUCACUUUAUGGGCACACACACACACACACAAACUCAGCCCUUAUCUGCUUAUUCCCAAGGUUUUCUUGCACUGGCAAGUCUUCUUAUCACUACGGUUGGUUACACACAAAGGGCAGGCUGACAUUAAUCUUAAAGAAUAAGAAUACAGGAUAAAACAGAGUUCUUAAUAUCUAAUGUCCGUUGAGACAUGUUAGGAGACAGCAUGUCUCUCCCAUGGCACAUAGAAGAGGCCCCCUGGUCCUUUUUAGCUGACCUGGUGACCCUAGGAAAAAGAAUACUCACACACAUGUCCAUGACAUGUAAAACCUGUCAGUUCUAGGAAGGAAUAAUAUGUUUCUAAGUAAGCAUGCAUCAAUCUAUAGUUAUAUAGAUGGCUUUCUUCAUUUAAUCACAUCAUACAACAAUCUUGGAGGUUAAAUACUGAUCAAACACUUGAUUAAUAAUCACACAAUAUUAAUGAGAUAAUAUAUUCUGAAGAAAGGAUAUAAUCAGCGUCAGAAUCUCCAUCCUCUCCUUCAUAGGUAAACCGGAGCCAGGAACACUUCCCAUAUCACCCGAUGUACUUGCUACAUCAUUAGAAGAAUGGCAUCUACGCUAAUAUUAGUCUGUUUCUCUCUUAUUCCGAGUUUACCGUAGCCAUCAGAUCCAGUCUGUAUCCAGAUCAGAGGGUCACUGCAGUCACUGGGAUCCAGUAUGUAUCCAGACCAGAUGGGGAA